Molecule: ribosomal RNA, 840 nt
Filed under: uncultured Cryomorphaceae bacterium
Lineage: Bacteria; Pseudomonadati; Bacteroidota; Flavobacteriia; Flavobacteriales; Cryomorphaceae
Description: bacterial SSU rRNA
Rfam family: Bacterial small subunit ribosomal RNA
Source: RNAcentral
UGAACGCUAGCGGCAGGCCUAACACAUGCAAGUCGAGGGGCAGCACAAAGAUAGUUUACUAUUUUGGUGGCGACCGGCGCACGGGUGAGUAACGCGUAUGCAACCUACCUUAUACAGGAGUAUAGCCCGAAGAAAUUCGGAUUAAUCCUCCAUAGUAUUUUCUAAUGGCAUCAUUUGGAAAAUUAAAGCUUCGGCGGUAUAAGAUGGGCAUGCGUCCUAUUAGCUAGAUGGUAAGGUAACGGCUUACCAUGGCAACGAUAGGUAGGGGGUCUGAGAGGGUGAUCCCCCACACUGGUACUGAGACACGGACCAGACUCCUACGGGAGGCAGCAGUGAGGAAUAUUGGGCAAUGGAGGCAACUCUGACCCAGCCAUGCCGCGUGCAGGAAGAAUGCCCUAUGGGUUGUAAACUGCUUUUAUUUAGGAAUAAACCCUUCUACGUGUAGAAGGCUGAAUGUACUAAACGAAUAAGCACCGGCUAACUCCGUGCCAGCAGCCGCGGUAAUACGGAGGGUGCAAGCGUUAUCCGGAAUCAUUGGGUUUAAAGGGUCCGCAGGCGGACGUAUAAGUCAGUGGUGAAAUCCUGCAGCUUAACUGCAGAACUGCCAUUGAUACUGUACGUCUUGAAUUCGGUCGAAGUGGGCGGAAUGUGUAGUGUAGCGGUGAAAUGCAUAGAUAUUACACAGAACACCGAUAGCGAAGGCAGCUCACUAGGCCUGGAUUGACGCUCAGGGACGAAAGCGUGGGGAUCAAACAGGAUUAGAUACCCUGGUAGUCCACGCUGUAAACGAUGAUUACUCGUUUUCGGCGAUAUACAGUCGGAGACUAAGCGAAAGUGAUA